This 1516-nucleotide long non-coding RNA is filed under the name Sinocyclocheilus anshuiensis. Its description in RNAcentral is "lncRNA (ENSSANG00000026541.1)". The record is from RNAcentral. Lineage: Eukaryota; Metazoa; Chordata; Actinopteri; Cypriniformes; Cyprinidae.
UAAAUAUGAUCUAAUAAUCUUUAUUUUAUCAUCCUAUUUAAUGUGUUUUAAUGUGUUUCACAGGUUAUAACAGGAGAUUGUGCCGCUCAGAUCUGAUUGUUCCCUAUAAAGACGUGUGGAUUCAGAAACUGUGAGUGAACUCUUUAUCUAAAUAACAUCUUUAGGUUUUGGUCAAACUCAACAAAUAUUUCAGUGAGAGUUUGGGUGAAAUGUGUUUAAUCGUCAUGAAAUGUAAUGUUUUCUUUGUUGAAUUAUGCCUCAGUCGGUUUAUUUUAUUCUCCGUCGUCUCUUUCUCUGUAUUUUAGUUGCCGUUAGAGAAACGAGAGCUGCUGAAGUGCAUUGUGGGAGUGUAAAGACGUGGAAAAACUGAACCAACCGCGUGAUAAACUGAACAACGGGAUGCCAGGAAUGAGUGCGCAGGAAGCCAGCACGGGAAAAGACUCGGUGCGCGUCUCCAAACACAAUGCAGACGCUCAGAAAAGAUCGUCCAAAGCGAGGAGCCUCACGCUGGAGGAUGAGGACUGGAUCUGGACGGCCAAUAAGAAGACGCCGCUGAUCACUGGAUCCAAUCUGACGCGCUCUGGAAGCGUUAAAGAUCUCAUAUACAGGUUCGACGGGCCGCCAACGCCGCCGCGCCUCGGCUCGCUGAAGAUCAAACAGCAAGACGUGAGCGCACGGGAUUCUGGGAAAAUGAGACAUGAAAGCAGAGAGAGAGGGAAGAACCAGAACCCGGUCUCCGGUGAACCGUCAGAACCAGAAACACAAGAAAGCUCAGAGCAGAAACGCCACAGCGCAGAGAAGAAGAAGAAGAGCGAUGACAAACAAACGUCCCGGCGCAGCAAAGACAAAGCGGCUGUCUCUGAUCCCGGUCCGCAUUCCAGCCUAUACGGCGAGAAGCAGCACAGCGGCCCUCAGUCGAAGGAGGAGCCCACCACCCCCAAAAUCCGCCCCAACCCCAAGUACCAGCUCUACCUGGGCUACAACGGCACCAGCGGCUCCAAUGGGUCAGUGGGGGACGGCGGCGGGAGCCACGGGAAUCUGCUGAGGGUCAGUUCAGUGAUCCGCGGCUCCAUGGAGUCGCUCUCAUCCCGGGACUGGGACAGCAUGUCCGACAGAACGGGCGGCUUUGAAAGUCCUCCCCGAGUUUUCAACAGUCCGUAUUCGACGCUCUCGCUGGACUACAAUCCCAUCAACAGAAUGUCUGACUUCAAGACACAGGAAGUGAUGUCACCCGCCGGCUCUGAGAUGAGUCUGUUUGGUCUGAACAGAAGCGUGAGUCCUGUUAGCAGUCCAGCUGUGAACCACCGCACACGAGUCCCCGGAUACGACAGUCUGACCCGCAGACGAGACGUGAGUCUGCGCCACAGAGAAGCAGGAAAUACAUAUUCAUCCAUAAAAUAAGCAAUCAGUUUAUAUUACAAUUAUAUGUAUGUUAACUGAAAUAAAAUAAAAUAUAAAAAAAUGUAAACUUAUUCUAUCUCAUUCUGUUUCAAAAUCUAAAGCUGAAAUAAAAAAU